GGGAUAAGCAACCCAAACCCAUUAUAACCACAUGUUCCUUCUCAUUAUUUUCCUGUCAACAAAGAAGCAGUGAUUCUUUCUUUUCUUCCUUGAGCUCUCAUCCCUCUCUCACGCCGCUGCCUCCUCUUGUUCUUCAUCUUGUUCUUUCCAAAAUUCUUCAAGCAAUUUUAGAUCAUCAAUCCUCAGCCCUAAUGUUAGAAAUAAUAUAAAACCAUUGAUGUGGCCUUUCCUAACAGCUUAAGCUUUUGGGAUAAUCGGUCAUAUAUGAUAUGGUAUCAGAGCCUCUAUGACUAAGUGGUCUAGAAUUCGAUCCCCGCUCCCCUCACUUUCUAAUUAAAAAGUGGAAUUUAAAAAAAAGCAUAUGGUAGGUGGGCCUAUGCAUUAUCCACGCUUCAAGCCCAAGUGGGCUCUUGCGUGAGGGGGCGUGUUAGAAAUAAUAUAAAACCAUUGAUGUGGCCUUUCCUAACAGCUUAAGCUUUUGGGAUAAUCGGUUAUUUGAUACCUAAGCUCUCUAGUAGGAAGUGGAAUUGAAGGCCAAAGCUCAAGAGGAAGUUGAAACUCUCAAUUCAGAUUUGUGACCAAGUUUCAGAGCUAGAAUCAAACACCAAUUCAGGUACCCCGGUGUAGUCAGCACCUUAGUUGGAUAGUAGAAACCUACUGAGGCUUAAUAGUCUCACCCCUGCUAUUUAUUGAUUUCAGAUAAGCAGGGUGAUCGAGGUAAGAAAGCUAUGGAGUGACUAGCUUGAAGACCUUAGGACUUAUGUUUAUUUUCGCAUAUUUUCUACAAGUUGUUAUGUGAUCCUUCUCUUGAACUUCAAGUACUAUGUACUGUUUUAUUUGUGAUACCUGUGUCGGGAGGACUGAUGUGUUAAGUCAAGUACUUCUUGGAUCAUGAUAAUGUAACUUAUGUUGUAUUCGUGCUUGAACAAAACUUUCGGUUGUAAAUUUAAUGUAUCUUAUGUAUGUUCCCUAUUAUAUUCUAGACUAGACUAUUUGAUA
This is a long non-coding RNA of Trifolium pratense (red clover), 999 nucleotides long. RefSeq lists it as uncharacterized. The record is from RefSeq and is a predicted model, not a curated record. NCBI's taxonomy places the organism in Eukaryota, Viridiplantae, Streptophyta, Magnoliopsida, Fabales, Fabaceae. The transcript has 3 exons.